AUGAAUACUGGGGACGAUACAAGCGCCAGCAAGUUUGGUCAGGAGUCACCUUAUCAAGAUGUGGCCAAAAUGAUCAUAUGCCAUGGUUAUCCCUUGUCGAUUGUGGAGCAUGAAGAAAUGAAAAGGAUUUUCAAGAGCAUCAACCCUGUGGCUAGUGUCUCUCGUAGUGAUAUGGAAGACCAUUUGUUGGAUCUAUUUCAGAAGGAAAAGAUGAAUGUCAAGGAUAAAAUCGCGCUAACCUCGCGGCAUGUCUCUCUGUCGGCAAGCAUCUGGACUGACGAUGGACCUGAGCCGACAGUAAAGUACCUCUGCUUGACAGCACAUUUCAUCGGUGAAGACUGGAAAGUUCACAGAAGAAUAAUAAAGUUUGGCAUGUAUUGGUGCUCACCUACUAAUUUGGAAAGGACUAUACACUGCAAGGAGGCCUGUGUUCCACAGUCUGAAAGUGGAUCUUACAAUGUCAUAUGGGAUGCAAUCAGAGAUUGGAACCUUGACCAGAAGAUAUUGAGCUUCACUUCAGUUGGUGAAAUCAAGAACGAUGCGAAUACCGCGAGGCUCAAGGCGAUGCUCAUGGAGAAGAGGUGCCUUCCCAUCAGAGGCAAGCUAUGCAACAUCGCUUGCUUGGACGACAUGAUAAACAGUGUUGUCGCCGAAGGACAAUCAGACAUACUUCUCCUUAUUGGUGAUGCAGUAAUGGACUUUUUUGUGGCGCAUGCAUCUUCACCAUUGGCCCAGCAACAGCUUCUGGAGGCCAUUUCACAGAUGAGCUUGAAGUGUCCACAGGAAGAUGCCAAGUGGUGGCAUAAGUUUUAUUUUAGGCUUGAAGUUCUGUUGCAAUUCAAGAAGUUGUUUCCUGCUGAAGAAGUGCUGUCUCCAGAAGAUAUGGGAGUUAUUGUGUCCAUUUGCAAGAUUUUGAGAACGUUUUAUCAUGCCAUCGAAGUAAUUUCUGGCCCGAGCUCUCCGACUGGCAAACAUAUACUUUAA
This 984-nucleotide ribosomal RNA is filed under the name Triticum aestivum (bread wheat). RNAcentral's name for it is "partial small subunit ribosomal RNA". The record is from RNAcentral. Lineage: Eukaryota; Viridiplantae; Streptophyta; Magnoliopsida; Poales; Poaceae.